Molecule: long non-coding RNA, 587 nt
Organism: Perca fluviatilis (European perch)
Lineage: Eukaryota; Metazoa; Chordata; Actinopteri; Perciformes; Percidae
Exons: 6
Source: RefSeq, a predicted model, not a curated record
CAGGUAGGACAGCUUCACCAUCUCAGACAGACAGACAGGUAGGACAGCUUCACCAUCUCAGACAGACAGACAGGUAGGACAGACCGGUAGGACAGCUUCACCAUCUCAGACAGACAGACAGGUAGGACAGCUUCACCAUCUCAGACAGACAGACAGGUAGGACAGACAGGUAGGACAGACCGGUAGGACAGCUUCACCAUCUCAGACAGACAGACAGGUAGGACAGCUUCACCAUCUCAGACAGACAGACAGGUAGGACAGACAGGUAAGACAGCUUCACCAUCUCAGACAGACAGACAGGUAGGUAGGAAAGACGGGUAGGACAGCUUCACCAUCUCAGACAGACAGACAGGUAGGACAGACAGGUAGGACAGACCGGUAGGACAGCUUCACCAUCUCAGACAGACAGACAGGUAGGACAGCUUCACCAUCUCAGACAGACAGACAGGUAGGACAGACAGGUAGGACAGACCGGUAGGACAGCUUCACCAUCUCAGACAGACAGACAGGUAGGACAGCUUCACCAUCUCAGACAGACAGACAGAAGACAGACAGACAGACAGACAGACAUAGGACAGCUUCACCAU